UAAGACGAAGGUGGCUAGCGUUGUUCGGAAUCACUGGGCUUAAAGAGCACGUAGGCGGCCCAUCAAGCGUCGUGUGAAAUCCCUCGGCUCAACCGAGGAAUUGCUUGGCGAACUGAUGGACUUGAGGCAGGCAGGGGCGAGUGGAACUCUUGGUGGAGCGGUGGAAUGCGUAGAUAUCAAGAGGAACGCCAGAGGCGAAGGCGACUCGCUGGGCCUGUCCUGACGCUGAGGUGCGAAAGCUAGGGGAGCGAACGGGAUUAGAUACCCCGGUAGUCCUAGCCCUAAACGAUGUCCACUAGGUCAAUGGUUCUCUGACGGAUUGUUGGCCGAAAUAAAAACGUUAAGUGGACCGCCUGGGGAGUACGGUCGCAAGGCUA
Molecule: ribosomal RNA, 377 nt
Filed under: uncultured Planctomycetota bacterium
Lineage: Bacteria; Pseudomonadati; Planctomycetota
Description: bacterial SSU rRNA
Rfam family: Bacterial small subunit ribosomal RNA
Source: RNAcentral